GGCUGUAGCUCAGUGGCAAAGUGCUUGCCUAGCAUGCUCCAGGCACUGAGUUCGAUCCUCAGCACCA
This 67-nucleotide transfer RNA is filed under the name Marmota monax (woodchuck). Its description in RNAcentral is "tRNA.Ala". The record is from RNAcentral. Lineage: Eukaryota; Metazoa; Chordata; Mammalia; Rodentia; Sciuridae.